This 521-nucleotide ribosomal RNA is filed under the name uncultured archaeon. Its description in RNAcentral is "bacterial SSU rRNA". It matches the Rfam family "Archaeal small subunit ribosomal RNA", at positions 325 to 848 of the family's 1478-position model. The record is from RNAcentral.
ACGGGGUGCAGCAGGCGCGAAACCUUUACAAUGCACGCAAGUGUGAUAAGGGGAUCCCAAGUGCCUAUGUUUUUCAUAGGCUUUUCUAAAGUUUAAAACGCUUUAGGAAUAAGAGCUGGGUAAGACGGGUGCCAGCCGCCGCGGUAAUACCCGCAGCUCGAGUUAUUUGGAGUUUUAUUGGGUCUAAAGCGUUCGUAGCCGGUCUUUCAAGUUCCCUGUGAAAUCUGACCGCUUAACGGUUAGACGCGCAGAGAAUACUGUAAGACUAGGGAGUGGAAUGGGCCAGAGGUACUCUUGGGGUAGGGGUGAAAUCCAAUAAUCCUGAGGGGACCACCUGUGGCGAAGGCGUCUGGCUAAGACACGUCCGACGGUGAGGAACGAAAGCUAGGGGAGCAAAUCGGAUUAGAUACCCGAGUAGUCCUAGCCGUAAAUGAUGCAGACUAGGUGUUGCAUGUUCUUCUUGAGCAUGCAGUGCCGAAGGGAAGCCGUUAAGUCUGCCACCUGGAAGUACGUCGACAAGG